CAGUCGCCGCGGUAAUACGUAGGGUGCGAGCGUCAAUCGGAAUUACUGGGCGUAAAGCGUGCGCAGGCGGUUAUGUAAGACAGUUGUGAAAUCCCCGGGCUCAACCUGGGAACUGCAUCUGUGACUGCGUAGCUAGAGUACGGUAGAGGGGGAUGGAAUUCCGCGUGUAGCAGUGAAAUGCGUAGAUAUGCGGAGGAACACCGAUGGCGAAGGCAAUCCCCUGGACCUGUACUGACGCUCAUGCACGAGAGCGUGGGGAGCAAACAGGAUUAGAUACCCGCGUAGUCCCUGUCUCUUAUAC
RNAcentral lists this ribosomal RNA (301 nucleotides) under uncultured bacterium. Its description in RNAcentral is "partial 16S ribosomal RNA". It matches the Rfam family "Bacterial small subunit ribosomal RNA", at positions 509 to 807 of the family's 1533-position model. The record is from RNAcentral.